UAGACCAGUGGAAAUCUGUGCUUUGGUCUGAUAAGUCCGAAUUUGAGAUCCUUGGUUCCACCUGCCGUGUCUUUGUGCGAUGCAGAAAAGGUGAACGGAUGGUCUCUACAUACAUGGUUUCCACUGUGAAGCCAUGGAGGAGGUGUGAUCAACGUGUGUCAAGUGCUUUGCUGAUGACACUGUUGGGAAUUUAUUCAAAGUUUAAUCACACUGAACAGUAACAUGCGGGGCGAGGGGCUUGAGCACCUGCCCCUUUCCUGAUGGGUGCCCCAAAUGCCCUUUUCCUGAGGCAAAUUUUUAUUUAUUUUUUUUAUUUUUAUUAUUUUUUUUAAUGUGUGCGUGCCCGUGGAGUCCUGCCUGUGCCCCUCAACAAUAACAUUUAACUAUUAAUCACAGUUUUGCGAAAUAAAAGGAUCUGGCUUGCAUCAGUCACAUGACUACCAUUAACCAAUGAUCGCCCUUGACGGAAGAGCGCGCUGGUUAUGAACUGGGAACGAGCACGCGCAUUUUUUGCCGUCUGAGCCGUCGGAGAAACACAGGUUAAUUGGGAGAGGCAGACUGAUGCAAGAAAACCCAUCUACAGUCCCAGAUCAACAGAGCCCUUCCCUCCGGCACUAUCAGCAGCAGCAACCCCUCAACAGUGCCAUUGUACCGCAUCAGGUCCACAGCGGGGACAGGUCUCUCCAGCACCAGGAUCAGUUCUUUGCCAAGGUCGAACCACUCCAGCAAGGACACAGGUGCUGAUGUUCCCACUGACCCUUCUGCUUCACCUGCAAGUUUCAGCAUAAUGGCCAC
Molecule: long non-coding RNA, 795 nt
Organism: Oreochromis niloticus (Nile tilapia)
Lineage: Eukaryota; Metazoa; Chordata; Actinopteri; Cichliformes; Cichlidae
Exons: 3
Source: RefSeq, a predicted model, not a curated record